UACUCGUCUACGCGCGAUGGGACACGCGAGCAGACUAUGCCUGUUUGCUCACGAUGGGAUGCAUGCAUAAACUGCACUUUGCACCCCACGCAGAUGGGAUGUACUCACAAUGCACAAGUCCUACGCUGGUCACGCGCACGCAUUCUCGAGUAGCGUGUAGAGCUCGUGCGGGCAGGAUCCUUCCCACAGGCGUUCCCAUGGGAUUUUUCUGCAUUUUUCUCUG
This 223-nucleotide long non-coding RNA is filed under the name Carica papaya (papaya). Its description in RNAcentral is "long non-coding RNA (CPAP_LNC004017)". The record is from RNAcentral. Lineage: Eukaryota; Viridiplantae; Streptophyta; Magnoliopsida; Brassicales; Caricaceae.